RNAcentral lists this ribosomal RNA (177 nucleotides) under uncultured bacterium. Its description in RNAcentral is "partial 16S ribosomal RNA". It matches the Rfam family "Bacterial small subunit ribosomal RNA", at positions 1322 to 1500 of the family's 1533-position model. The record is from RNAcentral.
GAAGUCGGAAUGCUAGUAAUCGCGGAUCAGCAUGCCGCGGUGAAUACGUUCCCGGGCCUUGUACACACCGCCCGUCACACCAUGGGAGCCGGUAAUACCCGAAGUCAGUAGUCCAACCUCGUGAGGACGCUGCCGAAGGUAGGAUUGGCGACCGGGGUGAAGUCGUAACAAGGUAUC